This 1081-nucleotide ribosomal RNA is filed under the name Cordyceps bifusispora. RNAcentral's name for it is "SSU rRNA". It matches the Rfam family "Eukaryotic small subunit ribosomal RNA", at positions 79 to 1174 of the family's 1831-position model. The record is from RNAcentral. Lineage: Eukaryota; Fungi; Ascomycota; Sordariomycetes; Hypocreales; Cordycipitaceae.
UACAGCGACUGCGAAUGGCUCAUUAUAUAAGUUAUCGUUUAUUUGAUAGUACCUUACUACUUGGAUAACCGUGGUAAUUCUAGAGCUAAUACAUGCUAAAAAUCCCGACUUCGGAAGGGAUGUAUUUAUUAGAUUAAAAACCAAUGCCCUCUGGGCUCCUUGGUGAUUCAUGAUAACUCUUCGAAUCGCACGGCCUUGCGCCGGCGAUGGUUCAUUCAAAUUUCUUCCCUAUCAACUUUCGAUGUUUGGGUAUUGGCCAAACAUGGUUGCAACGGGUAACGGAGGGUUAGGGCUCGACCCCGGAGAAGGAGCCUGAGAAACGGCUACUACAUCCAAGGAAGGCAGCAGGCGCGCAAAUUACCCAAUCCCGAUUCGGGGAGGUAGUGACAAUAAAUACUGAUACAGGGCUCUUUUGGGUCUUGUAAUUGGAAUGAGUACAAUUUAAAUCCCUUAACGAGGAACAAUUGGAGGGCAAGUCUGGUGCCAGCAGCCGCGGUAAUUCCAGCUCCAAUAGCGUAUAUUAAAGUUGUUGUGGUUAAAAAGCUCGUAGUUGAACCUUGGGCCUGGCUGGCCGGUCCGCCUCACCGCGUGCACUGGUCCGGCCGGGCCUUUCCCUCUGUGGAACCCCAUGCCCUUCACUGGGCGUGGCGGGGAAACAGGACGUUUACUUUGAAAAAAUUAGAGUGCUCCAGGCAGGCCUAUGCUCGAAUACAUUAGCAUGGAAUAAUGAAAUAGGACGCGUGGUUCUAUUUUGUUGGUUUCUAGGACCGCCGUAAUGAUUAAUAGGGACAGUCGGGGGCAUCAGUAUUCAAUUGUCAGAGGUGAAAUUCUUGGAUUUAUUGAAGACUAACUACUGCGAAAGCAUUUGCCAAGGAUGUUUUCAUUAAUCAGGAACGAAAGUUAGGGGAUCGAAGACGAUCAGAUACCGUCGUAGUCUUAACCAUAAACUAUGCCGACUAGGGAUCGGACGAUGUUAUUUUUUGACGCGUUCGGCACUUACGAGAAAUCAAAGUGCUUGGGCUCCAGGGGGAGUAUGGUCGCAGGCUGAAACUAAAGAAAUUGACGGAGGCACACAGGUAAA